AGAGUUUGAUCAUGGCUCAGGACUAACGCUGGCGGCGUGCCUAACACAUGCAAGUCGAACGAGGUAGCAAUACCUAGUGGCAGACGGGUGAGUAACGCGUGGUCAACCUUCCCUUUAGUGGGGGAUAACUAGCCGAAAGGUUAGCUAAUACCGCAUACGAUCUUCGAAUGGCAUCAUUUGAAGAUGAAAGGAGCAAUCCGCUUAAGGACGGGACCGCGUCCCAUUAGCUAGAUGGUGGGGUAAUAGCCUACCAUGGCAUCGAUGGGUAGCUGGUUUGAGAGAGCGACCAGCCACACUGGGACUGAGAAACGGCCCAGACUCCUACGGGAGGCAGCAGUGAGGAAUUUUCCGCAAUGGGCGAAAGCCUGACGGAGCGACGCCGCGUGUGGGAAGAAGGCCUUCGGGUCGUAAACCACUGUCGAAGGGGAAGAUACUGACGGUACCCUUGGAGGAAGCCCCGGCUAACUACGUGCCAGCCGCCGCGGUAAUAC
RNAcentral lists this ribosomal RNA (491 nucleotides) under uncultured bacterium. RNAcentral describes it as "bacterial SSU rRNA". It matches the Rfam family "Bacterial small subunit ribosomal RNA", at positions 8 to 526 of the family's 1533-position model. The record is from RNAcentral.